UUUAUGGAGAGUUUGAUCCUGGCUCAGGAUGAACGCUGGCGGCGUGCCUAAUACAUGCAAGUCGAGCGAACGGACGAGAAGCUUGCUUCUCUGAUGUUAGCGGCGGACGGGUGAGUAACACGUGGAUAACCUACCUAUAAGACUGGGAUAACUUCGGGAAACCGGAGCUAAUACCGGAUAAUAUUUUGAACCGCAUGGUUCAAAAGUGAAAGACGGUCUUGCUGUCACUUAUAGAUGGAUCCGCGCUGCAUUAGCUAGUUGGUAAGGUAACGGCUUACCAAGGCAACGAUGCAUAGCCGACCUGAGAGGGUGAUCGGCCACACUGGAACUGAGACACGGUCCAGACUCCUACGGGAGGCAGCAGUAGGGAAUCUUCCGCAAUGGGCGAAAGCCUGACGGAGCAACGCCGCGUGAGUGAUGAAGGUCUUCGGAUCGUAAAACUCUGUUAUUAGGGAAGAACAUAUGUGUAAGUAACUGUGCACAUCUUGACGGUACCUAAUCAGAAAGCCACGGCUAACUACGUGCCAGCAGCCGCGGUAAUACGUAGGUGGCAAGCGUUAUCCGGAAUUAUUGGGCGUAAAGCGCGCGUAGGCGGUUUUUUAAGUCUGAUGUGAAAGCCCACGGCUCAACCGUGGAGGGUCAUUGGAAACUGGAAAACUUGAGUGCAGAAGAGGAAAGUGGAAUUCCAUGUGU
This 693-nucleotide ribosomal RNA is filed under the name Staphylococcus aureus. RNAcentral describes it as "bacterial SSU rRNA". It matches the Rfam family "Bacterial small subunit ribosomal RNA", at positions 1 to 676 of the family's 1533-position model. Lineage: Bacteria; Bacillati; Bacillota; Bacilli; Caryophanales; Staphylococcaceae. The record is from RNAcentral.